Molecule: unclassified non-coding RNA, 311 nt
Filed under: Hevea brasiliensis (rubber tree)
Lineage: Eukaryota; Viridiplantae; Streptophyta; Magnoliopsida; Malpighiales; Euphorbiaceae
Source: RNAcentral
GGGAGCAUCAUCAAUAUGCAGUGAUUCCAAUAACUUGCUUCAUAUUGAUCUGCCUAUUCGCAUUACAACAUUAUGGCACACAUCGAGUUGGUUUUUGUUUUGCACCAAUUGUGAUGACCUGGUUACUCUGCAUUAGUGCUCUUGGGUUAUACAACAUUAUCCACUGGAAUCCACAGGUUUACAAAGCUCUUUCCCCCUAUUACAUGGUAAAGUUCCUGAAGAAAACAAGAAAAGGUGGAUGGAUGUCUUUGGGUGGAAUUCUGCUCUGCAUAACUGGUUCUGAAGCAAUGUUUGCUGAUCUUGGGCAUUUU